This 498-nucleotide ribosomal RNA is filed under the name uncultured bacterium. RNAcentral's name for it is "partial 16S ribosomal RNA". It matches the Rfam family "Bacterial small subunit ribosomal RNA", at positions 30 to 523 of the family's 1533-position model. The record is from RNAcentral.
AUUGAACGCUGGCGGCAUGCCUUACACAUGCAAGUCGAACGGUAACAGGUCUUCGGAUGCUGACGAGUGGCGAACGGGUGAGUAAUACAUCGGAACGUGCCCGAUCGUGGGGGAUAACGAAGCGAAAGCUUUGCUAAUACCGCAUAAGAUCUACGGAUGAAAGCAGGGGACCGCAAGGCCUUGCGCGAACGGAGCGGCCGAUGGCAGAUUAGGUAGCUGUUGGGAUAAACGCUUACCAAGCCGACGAUCUGUAGCUGGUCUGAGAGGACGACCAGCCACAGUGGGGCGUGGACACGGCCCAGACUCCUACGGGAGGCAGCAGUGGGGAAUUUUGGACAAGGGGCGAAAGCCUGAUCCAGCCAUGCCGCGUGCAGGAUGAAGGCCUUCGGGUUGUAAACUGCUUUUGUACGGAACGAAAAGACUCUUUCUAAUAAAGAGGGUCCAUGACGGUACCGUAAGAAUAAGCACCGGCUAACUACGUGCCAGCAGCCGCCGUAA